GACGAACGCUGGCGGCGCGCCUAACACAUGCAAGUCGAACGGAGCGCAGCGAGAAGAUUCCUUCGGGAUGAUUCAUGCUGUUGCUUAGUGGCGAACGGGUGAGUAACACGUGAGUAACCUACCCCGGAGUGGGGGACAACAUCUGGAAACGGAUGCUAAUACCGCAUAAGACCACAGAGCCGCAUGGCUCGGUGGCCAAAGGAGCAAUUCGCUCUGGGAUGGACUCGCGCCCGAUUAGCUAGUUGGUGAGGUAACGGCCCACCAAGGCAACGAUCGGUAGCCGGACUGAGAGGUUGAUCGGCCACAUUGGGACUGAGACACGGCCCAGACUCCUACGGGAGGCAGCAGUGGGGAAUAUUGCACAAUGGGCGAAAGCCUGAUGCAGCGACGCCGCGUGAGGGAAGAAGGUUUUCGGAUUGUAAACCUCUGUCUUCGGGGACGAUAGUGACGGUACCCGAGGAGGAAGCCACGGCUAACUACGUGCCAGCCGCCGCAGUAACAC
Molecule: ribosomal RNA, 502 nt
Filed under: uncultured bacterium
Lineage: Bacteria
Description: bacterial SSU rRNA
Rfam family: Bacterial small subunit ribosomal RNA
Source: RNAcentral